RNAcentral lists this ribosomal RNA (550 nucleotides) under uncultured stramenopile. Its description in RNAcentral is "bacterial SSU rRNA". It matches the Rfam family "Eukaryotic small subunit ribosomal RNA", at positions 594 to 1152 of the family's 1831-position model. The record is from RNAcentral.
AUAGCGUAUAUUAAAGUUGUUGCAGUUAAAAAGCUCGUAGUUGGAUUUCUGGUAGGAGCGACCGGUCCGCCCUGUUAAGGGUGUGUACUAGCGUUGUCUCUGGCCAUCCUUGGGGGAACUGCGCGGGGAGACUUGCGUUAGGGAACCCAUCGUUUACUGUGAAAAAAUUAGAGUGUUUAAAGCAGGCUUAUGCCGUUGAAUACAUUAGCAUGGAAUAAUAAGAUAGGACCGCGUGGUCGUCUUGUUGGUUUGCACCGCGAGGUAAUGAUUAAUAGGUACAGUUGGGGGUAUUCGUAUUUAAUUGUCAGAGGUGAAAUUCUUGGAUUUAUGAAAGACGAACUUCUGCGAAAGCAUUUACCAAGGAUGUUUUCAUUAAUCAAGAACGAAAGUUAGGGGAUCGAAGAUGAUUAGAUACCAUCGUAGUCUUAACCAUAAACUAUGCCGACUAGGGAUUGGCGGUCGUUUCUUUUGACCCCGUCAGCACCUUAUGAGAAAUCAAAGUCUUUGGGUUCCGGGGGGAGUAUGGUCGCAGGGCUGAAACUUAAAGGAA